AUCAGACAAUCGCGUUUCUUAUGAAAUGAGGAAAGUCCGGGCUCCAUAGGGCGAGGAUGCCAGAUAACGUCUGGGGUAGGUAACUAUAGGGAAAGUGCAACAGAAACAUUCCGCCGAAACAAGUAAUGUUGUGGUAAGGUUGAAAUGGUGAGGUAAGAGCUCACCGGCAAUACAGAGAUGUAUUGGCCGUGUAAACCCCAUCCGGAGCAAGACCAAAAGGAACUUAAAAAGCGGUUGCCCGUCGCUGUUCAGAGGUAGGUUGCUAGAGCAUGUUGGUGACAACAUGUCGAGAUAGAUGAUUGUCAAAUACAGAACCCGGCUUAUAGAUUUGCC
This 333-nucleotide RNase P RNA is filed under the name uncultured Eubacterium sp. Its description in RNAcentral is "Bacterial RNase P class A". It matches the Rfam family "Bacterial RNase P class A". From Rfam's summary of the family: Ribonuclease P (RNase P) is a ubiquitous endoribonuclease, found in archaea, bacteria and eukarya as well as chloroplasts and mitochondria. Its best characterised activity is the generation of mature 5'-ends of tRNAs by cleaving the 5'-leader elements of precursor-tRNAs. The record is from RNAcentral. Lineage: Bacteria; Bacillati; Bacillota; Clostridia; Eubacteriales; Eubacteriaceae.